GGCGCUGUGACGGAGUGGUUAACGUGAUGCCCUGCUAUGUCUCUGGCAUAGGGUUAGGCAUUUCCUUCGGGAGCGCAGGUUCGAAUCCUGCCGGCGUCG
This 99-nucleotide transfer RNA is filed under the name Hypoxylon rubiginosum. Its description in RNAcentral is "tRNA-Ser". It matches the Rfam family "tRNA". From Rfam's summary of the family: Transfer RNA (tRNA) molecules are approximately 80 nucleotides in length. Their secondary structure includes four short double-helical elements and three loops (D, anti-codon, and T loops). The record is from RNAcentral. Lineage: Eukaryota; Fungi; Ascomycota; Sordariomycetes; Xylariales; Hypoxylaceae.